Molecule: long non-coding RNA, 1081 nt
Organism: Vombatus ursinus (common wombat)
Lineage: Eukaryota; Metazoa; Chordata; Mammalia; Diprotodontia; Vombatidae
Exons: 2
Source: RefSeq, a predicted model, not a curated record
CCUCUGGACUUGGCAUGGGGGAGAAAUUCUAACGACUUUGGGGAAUGAACUCAGUUUAUUCAAUAUUUGACUCAGACAUCACUGCAUGCCAUGUAAUUUUUUCUUCCAUACAGGGAAUCAAUUGAGUUUGUUGUCAAUCAGAAAAUCAUUCUAGUUUGUCAAUUAUAGAUUGUUAACUAUGACCAAGGCUGAUGUUACAAUGGAUGAGGGAAUGUAAGCCACCAAGAGCAGCCUGAGAAUUGAGAAUUUCAUUCACAAUCAAGGAGGAGGAGACAGCUGGCAGAGUCAAGAGCCUGAGAGUCCAGUCCUCUCCAUCACAACAAUGGACAUAUUCUGAUGAAGCACCCAUGGAGAACAGCAGAGUGUUCACAAUACAAUCGAAAAACAUGAACAGCUUCUGGAUGUUUUCAUAGAGUCUAGUUUGCUUGCAUUUCCAAUCCAACAUGAAAGGGGGGCGGGGAGAGAAUCUAAUUUACAGGAAGAAAUGGCUUUGCUCAUCACAAUCUAGCACUCCAGACCCACAUUUCAGUUACCUUGCAUAUCCCAACACUUCCCACGUAGCAAGCACAUUAACUUCUACAUACUGUAGUAAGUUAUCAAUGUGAAUCGAAAGGUGACUAUUCCUCCUCCUGCCUGUGAAACAACUGUUCUAUGCUUGUAACACUGCUGUUUUAGCAACACAGUUGUAACAUCUGGUUAGCCUUGAAAAAACAUUUUUAAAAAAGUAAACACACAUAAAAUUAAAAAGUAUGUCAUACCAUUCAACUUCUAUACAUACAGGUUUGUUUCAUCUUGGUUUUAAUUUCCACCAAAAGCUCUUGAGAAACUAGGUGGUUAAAACAUCCACUGCUAUGUUAAGCAUUUGUGGCAGAUGGUGGCAUUAAGUGGCAAUAACAACAAACGAGUCCUUAUGGAAGUAGCACUUGGUUAAGAGAACACAGAAGGUGCAGAAGCUAGUACAAGUCUUAUAAAGUACACAGCUCUGAAUCCAUUCAGUAAACUGGAAAUUUCAAUACAUUCAAACACUCAAAAUAGCUCUCUCUCUGUUCAUGGAUGUACACUUAUAAAUGUUUCUCUCAGA